GCCGCCGUGGCGAAAUCGGCAUACGCAUGAGACUUAAAAUCUCAGGAUGGAAACAUCGUACGGGUUCAAGUCCCGUCGGCGGCA
This 84-nucleotide transfer RNA is filed under the name Anaerotruncus sp. RNAcentral's name for it is "tRNA-Leu". It matches the Rfam family "tRNA". Rfam says of the family: Transfer RNA (tRNA) molecules are approximately 80 nucleotides in length. Their secondary structure includes four short double-helical elements and three loops (D, anti-codon, and T loops). Lineage: Bacteria; Bacillati; Bacillota; Clostridia; Eubacteriales; Oscillospiraceae. The record is from RNAcentral.